Molecule: ribosomal RNA, 253 nt
Filed under: uncultured bacterium
Lineage: Bacteria
Description: partial 16S ribosomal RNA
Rfam family: Bacterial small subunit ribosomal RNA
Source: RNAcentral
UACGAAGGGGACUAGCGUUGUUCGGAAUUACUGGGCGUAAAGCGUGCGCAGGCGGUUAUGCAAGACAGAUGUGAAAUCCCCGGGCUCAACCUGGGAACUGCAUUUGUGACUGCAUGGCUAGAGUGCGGCAGAGGGGGAUGGAAUUCCGCGUGUAGCAGUGAAAUGCGUAGAUAUGCGGAGGAACACCGAUGGCGAAGGCAAUCCCCUGGGCCUGCACUGACGCUCAUGCACGAAAGCGUGGGGAGCAAACAGG